RNAcentral lists this ribosomal RNA (253 nucleotides) under Alphaproteobacteria bacterium. Its description in RNAcentral is "partial 16S ribosomal RNA". It matches the Rfam family "Bacterial small subunit ribosomal RNA", at positions 524 to 776 of the family's 1533-position model. RNAcentral also lists the same sequence under 1 other name. The record is from RNAcentral. Lineage: Bacteria; Pseudomonadati; Pseudomonadota; Alphaproteobacteria.
UACGGAGGGGGCUAGCGUUGUUCGGAAUUACUGGGCGUAAAGCGCACGUAGGCGGCGCGACAAGUCAGAGGUGAAAGGCCUGGGCUCAACCUGGGAACUGCCUUUGAUACUGGCGUGCUUGAGUCCGGAAGAGGGUGGCGGAAUUCCCAGUGUAGAGGUGAAAUUCGUAGAUAUUGGGAAGAACACCGGUGGCGAAGGCGGUCACCUGGUCCGGUACUGACGCUGAGGUGCGAAAGCGUGGGGAGCAAACAGG